Caretta caretta (loggerhead turtle) is the source of this 758-nucleotide long non-coding RNA. RefSeq lists it as uncharacterized. The record is from RefSeq and is a predicted model, not a curated record. Lineage: Eukaryota; Metazoa; Chordata; Testudines; Cheloniidae.
CUGCUUUCUUACUGUUUCACUGCUAGCGUAGUGAAACAAUGAUAGUAUUAUCAUGUGUUUGUAUAGACUAAGUGGGGGAGUCACUUGUAUAGUACAGAUUUUGGUGUGCUUAAACAGGCAGCUUUGUGGUAAGAGUGUUGGUGGUAAAUAGAUUCCCCUUUUUACCUUCCUUUAGAGUUUCAUCUGAUUGGAGAUGUCUUCCUAGACAAAAGAAAAAAAUGAAGCAGGAUGUAUUCUGCGAGGUCCUCAGUCAGGUCUUAGUCUAUGCUACCCCUGAUGUGCUUUCAUCUCCAAAAAGGAGCAUCACACAAACAUCCAAUUAACCCAUGAUCCUGCAAUCAGUGAUACACCACUAGUUACAACUACACUUGAACCUCAAGGUAUUUGGUUGUCUGAAACAUGCCAUUGGUAUGAGGCAAAGGGGAAGCUCACUGCACUCUGUCAUCUUUAGGAGACCUGAAACAAAACCUUGAAAGAGAAAUCGCUAGAGAAAAUGUAAGCAAGUAAAAUAUACACAUUGCUUGGAGGGAAGGAAUGACUGCUGAGUGCUUUUCAAUGGCUGAAUACUUCAAUGCUACUUACUUCAAUGACCCAAGUAAGCUAAAUUUAUUGUAAGAGGGAACAUGUUAACUGAUUCAGGUCACCACGGUGUAGUUUAAAACAGCUCUAGUUGAUUGUAUCAAAUCACCACUGCAGUGCAACAGUGCUAUAACUAAAUCCAUUUUGCUAAACAAAUUACUUUAUAGGCAAGACAAUUU